This 104-nucleotide non-coding RNA is filed under the name Pteridomonas danica. The record is from RNAcentral. Lineage: Eukaryota; Dictyochophyceae; Pedinellales.
CUCCGAUGUAUAUCGCUGCUCAAUAUGGCAACGUUGAUUCUAUGAGAUUGUUGUUGAAACAUGGUGCUCUGGUGGAUGCACCACGCGAUAUUGGAACAACUCCA